This 260-nucleotide long non-coding RNA is filed under the name Ananas comosus (pineapple). Its description in RNAcentral is "long non-coding RNA (ACOM_LNC036669)". Lineage: Eukaryota; Viridiplantae; Streptophyta; Magnoliopsida; Poales; Bromeliaceae. The record is from RNAcentral.
AUUCAAAAAAAAUUUUUUUUUUUUUUGAGAGAGAGAGAUAGGUAGUACGGUAUCCGCUUCGUUUAUUUCAUUUAGAAAUAAAUUUUGCUGGAAAUGUGAAUCAACUAGGAUUCGAACUUGGGUCUCGGGUACCAACCACCAAACCCUUUGCCACUUGCUUUAGGACGGUCGGUUAUAUGAUUCCAAAAGUUAAACUUAACUAUUAUACAAUUUAGCUCAUAUUUACUUGAGCAUUCUUUAUUAAAAAAUUUACAUUUAAC